Molecule: non-coding RNA, 30 nt
Filed under: Rattus norvegicus (Norway rat)
Lineage: Eukaryota; Metazoa; Chordata; Mammalia; Rodentia; Muridae
Source: RNAcentral
AGAGAGCACGGAACAAAACUAAUGCCCAGC